AUUCCAGCUCCAAUAGCGUAUAUUAAAGUUGUUGCAGUUAAAAAGCUCGUAGUUGAAUUUGUGUCAGUGUCUGAAUGUUGGUUCUUUCAACUUGUUCAGUCAUUGUCAUUAUUGAGUGAAAACCAUGGGGCAUUAGGUUGUUCUGUGGUAGAUUCUCAUCAUUUACUGUGAAAAAAUUAGAGUGUUCAAAGCAGGCUUAUGCCAAUGAAUAUAUUAGCAUGGAAUAAUAGAAUGUAACUUUGGAACUAUUUUGUUGGCUUGUGUACCAAAGUAAUGAUUAAUAGGGAUAAUUGGGGGUAUUCGUAUUCCAUUGUCAGAGGUGAAAUUCUUGGAUUUUUGGAAGACGAACAACUGCGAAAGCAUUUACCAAGGAUGUU
RNAcentral lists this ribosomal RNA (377 nucleotides) under Pinnularia acrosphaeria. RNAcentral's name for it is "SSU rRNA". It matches the Rfam family "Eukaryotic small subunit ribosomal RNA", at positions 582 to 968 of the family's 1831-position model. The record is from RNAcentral. Lineage: Eukaryota; Bacillariophyta; Bacillariophyceae; Sellaphorales; Pinnulariaceae.